CCUACGGGUGGCUGCAGUGAGGAAUAUUGGUCAAUGGGCGCGAGCCUGAACCAGCCAAGUAGCGUGAAGGAUGACUGCCCUACGGGUUGUAAACUUCUUUUAUAAAGGAAUAAAGUGCGGUACGUGGGCCUCUUUGUAUGUACUUUAUGAAUAAGGAUCGGCUAACUCCGUGCCAGCAGCCGCGGUAAUACGGAGGCUCCGCGCGUUAUCCGGAUUUAUUGGGGUUAAAGGGAGCGUAGAUGGGUGGUUAAGUCAGUUGUGAAAGUUUGCGUCUCAACCGUAAAAUUGCAGUUGAUACUGGCAGUCUUGAGUACAGUUGAGGUAGGCGGAAUGCGUGGUGUAGCUGUGAAAUGCUUAGAUAUCACGAAGAACUCCGAUUGCGAAGGCAGCUUACUAGACUGCAACUGACAUUGAUGCUCGAAAGUGUGGGUAUCAAACAGGAUUAGAUACCCUUGUAGUC
RNAcentral lists this ribosomal RNA (460 nucleotides) under uncultured bacterium. RNAcentral describes it as "partial 16S ribosomal RNA". It matches the Rfam family "Bacterial small subunit ribosomal RNA", at positions 338 to 795 of the family's 1533-position model. The record is from RNAcentral.